CCUACGGGAGGCAGCAGCAGGGGAUCUUGCGCAAUGGGCGAAAGCCUGACGCAGCAACGCCGCGUGGGGGAAGAAGGCCCUCGGGUCGUAAACCCCUUUUGCCGGGGACGAAACUGACGGUACCCGGCGAAUAAGUCCCGGCUAACUACGUGCCAGCAGCCGCGGUAAUACGUAGGGGACGAGCGUUAUCCGGAUUUAUUGGGCGUAAAGAGCGCGUAGGCGGCAGGGAAAGUCUCUGGUGAAAUCUCCCCGCUUAACGGGGAGGGGACCGGAGAAACUUUCUUGCUGGAGGGCAGAAGAGGGGGGUGGAAUUCCCGGUGGAGCGGUGAAAUGCGUAGAUAUCGGGAGGAGGGCCGGUGGCGAAAGCGGCCCUCUGGGCCUGUACUGACGCUGAGGCGCGAAAGCGUGGGGAGCAAACAGGAUUAGAUACCCCGGUAGU
Molecule: ribosomal RNA, 439 nt
Filed under: uncultured bacterium
Lineage: Bacteria
Description: partial 16S ribosomal RNA
Rfam family: Bacterial small subunit ribosomal RNA
Source: RNAcentral